RNAcentral lists this ribosomal RNA (464 nucleotides) under uncultured bacterium. RNAcentral's name for it is "partial 16S ribosomal RNA". It matches the Rfam family "Bacterial small subunit ribosomal RNA", at positions 339 to 795 of the family's 1533-position model. The record is from RNAcentral.
CUACGGGACGCUGCAGUGGGGAAUAUUGCACAAUGGAGGAAACUCUGAUGCAGCCAUGCCGCGUGUGUGAAGAAGGCCCGAGGGUUGUAAAGCACUUUCAAUUGGGAGGAAGGUUAUGUAGCUAAUACCUGCAUAAUUUGACGUUACCUUUAGAAGAAGCACCGGCUAACUCUGUGCCAGCAGCCGCGGUAAUACAGAGGGUGCAAGCGUUAUUCGGAAUUACUGGGCGUAAAGCGCGCGUAGGCGGAUUGUUAAGUCAGAUGUGAAAGCCCUGGGCUCAACCUGGGAACGGCAUUUGAUACUGGCAGUCUAGAGUUUAAGAGAGGGAAGGGGAAUUUCUAGUGUAGCAGUGAAAUGCGUAGAUAUUAGAAGGAACAUCAGUGGCGAAGGCGCCUUCCUGGCUUAAAACUGACGCUGAGGUGCGAAAGCGUGGGUAGCGAACGGGAUUAGAUACCCUCGUAGUC